Molecule: ribosomal RNA, 1800 nt
Filed under: Triticum aestivum (bread wheat)
Lineage: Eukaryota; Viridiplantae; Streptophyta; Magnoliopsida; Poales; Poaceae
Description: partial small subunit ribosomal RNA
Source: RNAcentral
AUGGCUCGCCGGUCUUCCUCCUCCUCCUCGUCGGGGGCGUGGCGGUACCUCAACCCCGCCUACUACCUCAAGCGGCCCAAGCGCCUCGCGCUCCUCUUCUUCGUCUUCGUCGCCGCCACCUUCGCCUUCUGGGACCGCCAAUCGCUCGUCAGCGAGCACGAGUGCCCUUCUUGUGUGAGAGUGAAUGAAGGUAUAGUAUUCAGUCAAGAAAUUUUGGUAACGGCUCAUGUAUUUGACGUCAUCACGGAUGGCAAGUCUGAGAUUUCCCGAUUACGAAAUGAAAUAAAUCAGUUGCAUGGUCAGUUAAGGAAGGCUGGUGUUCUACUGGAAGAAAAUCCAGCAACUGAAAUUCCCAGAAAAGAUCUUGUAGAGAUUGAUCCUAUUAAUAAUGAAAGGAGGGAAAAGGUUAAGGAGGCUAUGCUCCAUGCCUGGAAUUCCUAUGUAAAGUAUGCAUGGGGAAUGGAUGAGCUUCAGCCACAAUCAAAGAAUGGUGUUAAUAGCUUUGGCGGUCUUGGGGCAACCCUUGUGGACUCUCUAGAUACACUGUAUAUAAUGGGCCUAAGAGAUGAGUUUCAGAAGGCCAGAGACUGGGUGGCAGAGUCAUUAAGCUUUGACAAGGAUUAUGACGCAAGCGUUUUUGAAACGACCAUAAGGGUUGUUGGAGGUCUCCUCAGUGCAUAUGAUAUGUCGGGUGACAAAGUAUUUCUCGAAAAGGCGAAGGAUAUUGCUGAUCGAUUGUUACCUGCCUGGGAUACAACAUCUGGUAUCCCUUAUAAUUCAAUCAACUUAGCUCAUGGCCGAGCUCAUAAUUUUGGAUGGACCAACGGUGAUAGUAUCCUUGCGGAUUCUGGAACGGAGCAACUUGAAUUUAUAGCUUUGUCCCAGAGAACCGGAGAUCCUAAGUAUCAGCUGAAGGCAGAAAAUGUCAUCCGACAGCUUCAGAAGAUAUAUCCAAGUGAUGGCUUACUUCCUAUCUACAUAAAUCCUCAGUCAGGGCAAGCAUCAUACUCAACAAUAACAUUCGGUGCUAUGGGAGAUAGCUUCUACGAGUACUUGCUCAAGGUCUGGAUUCAGGGGAAUAAAACCGAGAGCGUAAAACAUUACAGACAAAUGUGGGAGACAUCAAUGGAAGGUUUAAUAAGCUUGACCAGGCAAACUACACCCUCUAAUUACACAUAUAUCUGCGAGAAAAGUGGUGGCUCGUUGUCUCACAAGAUGGAUGAACUUGCAUGCUUCGCCCCUGGUAUGCUGGCACUUGGAGCCUCUGGUUAUGGGCCCGAAAAAGCUAAACAGAUUAUGAAUCUGGCAGAAGAGCUUGCUCGGACCUGUUAUAACUUCUACCAAACAACUCCCACAAAGCUGGCUGGAGAGAAUUAUUAUUUCCACGCUGAACAGGAUAUGAAUGUGGGCACGUCAUGGAAUAUCCUGAGACCAGAGACUGUGGAAUCACUUAUGUACCUGUGGCGCCUUACGGGGAACAAAACAUACCAAGAUUGGGGAUGGGACAUAUUCGAGGCAUUUGAGAAGAACUCCCGCAUAGCAUCUGGAUAUGUAGGACUAAGAGAUGUGAAUAGUGGUGAAAAGGACGACAAGAUGCAGACCUUCUUCCUAGCAGAGACGCUGAAGUACCUCUAUCUGCUGUUCUCCCCUCCGUCAGUCGUAUCUUUCGACGAGUGGGUCUUCAACACUGAAGCUCACCCUUUGAGAAUCGUUCCGACACAUGGUAGCAACGGCCAGUCAAUUGAAACUGCAAAGCCAGUGGUCCGACCGUUCGGUAGGAAGCAAGGGAAACAGGGGUAG